GAUCAUGGCUCAGGACGAACGCUGGCGGCGUGCCUAACACAUGCAAGUCGAGCGAAUGAAGUUCCUUCGGGAACGGAUUUAGCGGCGGACGGGUGAGUAACACGUGGGCAACCUGCCUCAUAGAGGGGAAUAGCCUUCCGAAAGGGAGAUUAAUACCGCAUAAGAUUGUAGUACCGCAUGGUACAGCAAUUAAAGGAGCAAUCCGCUAUCAGAUGUGCCCAAAUGGGAUUAGCUAGUAGGUGAGGUAAAGGCUCACCUAGGCGACGAUCUCUAGCUGGUCUGAGAGGAUGAUCAGCCACAUUGGGACUGAGACACGGCCCAGACUCCUACGGGAGGCAGCAGUAGGGAAUAUUGCACAAUGGAGGAAACUCUGAUGCAGCCAUGCCGCGUGUGUGAAGAAGGCCUUCGGGUUGUAAAGCACUUUCAGAGGGGAGGAGAAUGACGUUACCCUCAGAAGAAGCACCGGCUAACUCCGUG
Molecule: ribosomal RNA, 477 nt
Filed under: uncultured bacterium
Lineage: Bacteria
Description: bacterial SSU rRNA
Rfam family: Bacterial small subunit ribosomal RNA
Source: RNAcentral